AUGGAUUCGACAGGUACAGACUCACGCAACCCCCGCAACGAAUCUGCACUGCAUCUCGGUAUGGCCUCCUUCCCUAGGCGCUCGGAGCUCAGUCAUCGACUGACCACUGGCACAACUACGCACAAUCGCCAUCGGCCUGGCUCAACCCUAGCCCAGCAGCUCGCCAGCUCCUCGUUGCCGGUCAUCAAGUGUGACCACUACCCGCGACAGGUGCUGCGCCGAGUUUCGACCAUGCAGCAACAUCCUGGAUGGGUGUCCUUCAAGUGCAAAAAAGAUGGGGAUGGAUGCAAGUUUUGGUAUUGGGAUGAAGAGUACAUCGAUCUAUUGAUAGCAAGAAAUUUGCUAGAUGUUCGUACACUACUUGCUAGAGUUGAGACAGGAGAUGAGAAUAGAGACGACGCAAUGUCCAAUUGUAUGGAGGCGGGGAAGAACGAAGUGUGCAAUCUCAAGAAACCGAUAGAGAACUGCAACAGUGUGUGCAACGAAGACAUAGAGAAAAUAUUAAUCCAACUAGUUGGAGCACUUAUGGAAAUUGGAUUUCUAUUAAAGUGUCUAAUUGUGGUUAUGGUUUUAUUUAGACUGAGAGAGAAUUGA
RNAcentral lists this ribosomal RNA (594 nucleotides) under Triticum aestivum (bread wheat). Its description in RNAcentral is "partial small subunit ribosomal RNA". The record is from RNAcentral. Lineage: Eukaryota; Viridiplantae; Streptophyta; Magnoliopsida; Poales; Poaceae.